GAUGAAGAACGUAGCGAAAUGCGAUACUUGGUGUGAAUUGCAGAAUCCCGUGAACCAUCGAGUCUUUGAACGCAAGUGGCGCCCGAAGCCAUCAGGUUGAGGGCACGUCUGCCUGGGCGUCACAUAUCGUUGCCCAAUGCCUAUUGCAGUGCAAUAGGAAUUUCUAGGGCGAAUGAUGGCUUCCCGUGAGCGUUGUUGCCUCGCGGUUGGUUGAAAAUCGAGUCCUUGGUAGGGUGUGCCAUGGUAGAUGGUGGUCGAGUUAGAACGAUACCGAUCAUGUGCAUGCUCCCCAAAAUAUGGCCUCUAUGACCCACACGCGUCUUUUGACGCUCAUGACGAGACCUCAGGUCAGGCGGGGCUACCCGCUGAAUUUAAGCAUAUCAAUAAGCGGAGGA
RNAcentral lists this unclassified non-coding RNA (395 nucleotides) under soil metagenome. Its description in RNAcentral is "partial contains 5.8S ribosomal RNA, internal transcribed spacer 2, and large subunit ribosomal RNA". The stretch from base 1 to 122 matches the Rfam family "5.8S ribosomal RNA", at positions 35 to 154 of the family's 154-position model. The record is from RNAcentral.